UUAUCAUUUUUUAAAGAAAUUAUUUUAUUCAUUUUAGAGAGACAGAGGGUGUGUACAUAUAUGGGCAUUAGGAAGGAGCAGAGGGAGAGAAUACCCAAGCAGACUCCCAGUGAGUACAGAGCCCAACUCAGGGCUCCAUUUCACAACCCAUGAGAUCAUGACCUUAGCAGAAAACCAGGAGUCAGUUGCUCAACUGAUUGAGUCAUUCGGGUGGCCAUAUUAUUUUUUAGCAAGCAGAGCUAUGUGUAUUACAAGAUUCAACUGUAAUGUCAACUGCUGACCCUCCAUAGAAUUGAAAAUCUAUGUAUAACUUUUGACUUUCCAGAAACUUAACUAUUAAUAUCCUACUGUUUGACUGGAAUUCUUACCAUUAACACAGUCAUAUAACACAUAUUUUGCAUGUUAUAUGUAUUAUAUAUUGUGUUAUUACAAUAAAUAAGCUAGAGAAAAGAAAAUGUUAUCAUGAAAAUCAUAAAGAAGAAAGAUUACAUCUGCAGCAGUGUAUUCGUCCAAAAUGUGAGUGUAAGCAAACCCACACAGUUCAAACCCAUGUUGUUCAGAGGUCAAAUGUAUUCGGGCGUCCCAGGAAGACUUUUUUUAUUUCUUUUCUUUUAUUUCCCUCAUUAUGCAGAGAACUAGAAACACUCUGAUUUAUAAAACGUCUUUGGUGGAAUUUAAUUAAAGUGGCUCAAUUUCCCAGAGUGGCAUUGAGACAUUUCUGGUGGCAUUGAGACAACUGAGUGUAGAGCUUGCAGUAUAGAGAACCAGACAGGGAACAGAACUCUCUCCCCAUCAAAAAAAAAAAAAAAAAAAAAACACCUUUAUACAAUUUGUCAAUUUCUUGGCUGUAUUAGCAGACAGGGUAUAAGUAGUGGAUAUGACAACAAUGUCUUUUACUAGCCUUGAAAAAGACAUGCAGCAAUCCUUGGGUGUGGAAUCUAGUAGCAAGUCAAGUGACUCUAUAGAAAUCUUCAUACAGUUCUCUACAUCAGUGCUAAAUAUUAUAUCUCAGGCCACUUAUAUCUAAGUAUCAGCUGAAGCAUUUAUAUUUUAUGGGCCUAGCUUAGCCCCUGGAAUUUAGAAACCCAGUAAAUAAUAGUUACAGAAACUAAUAUUGUAUGGAGCCCAAAAAGCAAAGUGAUACUUCAAAAAUUGUGUUCAGUUCAAAGCCCUGAGAACAGACCAAAUGCUAGCAGGUCUCAUAAAUCUCUUAAAACUUUUUUCAGAAAACAGGUUGAUAAAUAAAAUCAUCCUGAUGACACCAACCCUGAAUAUUUUC
Molecule: long non-coding RNA, 1279 nt
Filed under: Canis lupus familiaris (dog)
Lineage: Eukaryota; Metazoa; Chordata; Mammalia; Carnivora; Canidae
Description: lncRNA (ENSCAFG00845004718.1)
Source: RNAcentral